AGGACCUGAUGACUCAACUCCUGUCACAAAGAAACAUCAAGACAAGGGGAAGAAAAAGGCAAUGAAGAGUGAUGAUGGUGACGCUAUGUUUUUGUUGGCAAAGAACAGGUUUGUGACAGUGCGA
Molecule: long non-coding RNA, 124 nt
Filed under: Priapulus caudatus
Lineage: Eukaryota; Metazoa; Priapulida; Priapulimorpha; Priapulimorphida; Priapulidae
Description: uncharacterized LOC106816249, transcript variant X2
Source: RNAcentral